GAUGAACGCUGGCGGCGUGCUUAACACAUGCAAGUCGAACGGAAAGGCCCAAGCUUGCUUGGGUACUCGAGUGGCGAACGGGUGAGUAACACGUGGGUGAUCUGCCCUGCACUUCGGGAUAAGCCUUGGAAACUGGGUCUAAUACCGGAUAGGACCACAUUUUGGAUGGUGUGGUGGAAAGUUUUUCGGUGUGGGAUGAGCUCGCGGCCUAUCAGCUUGUUGGUGGGGUAAUGGCCUACCAAGGCGUCGACGGGUAGCCGGCCCGAGAGGGUGUACGGCCAAAUUGGGACUGAGAAAAGGCCCAGACUCCUACGGGAGGGAGGCGUGGGGAAUAUUGCAAAAUGGGCGCAAGCCUGAUGCAGCGAAGCCGCGGGGGGGAUGACGGCCUUUGGGUUGUAAACCCUUUUCGAUAGGGACGAAGCGUUAUGUGACGGUACCUGGAGAAGAAGCACCGGCUAACUACGUG
This 466-nucleotide ribosomal RNA is filed under the name uncultured bacterium. RNAcentral describes it as "partial 16S ribosomal RNA". It matches the Rfam family "Bacterial small subunit ribosomal RNA", at positions 28 to 507 of the family's 1533-position model. The record is from RNAcentral.